Molecule: ribosomal RNA, 253 nt
Filed under: uncultured bacterium
Lineage: Bacteria
Description: partial 16S ribosomal RNA
Rfam family: Bacterial small subunit ribosomal RNA
Source: RNAcentral
GACGAAGGGGGCUAGCGUUGUUCGGAAUUACUGGGCGUAAAGCGCGUGUAGGCGGUUGGCCAAGUCGGGUGUGAAAGCCUUGAGCUCAACUCAAGAAAUGCACUCGAUACUGGGUGACUUGAGGACCGGAGAGGAUAGUGGAAUUCCCAGUGUAGUGGUGAAAUACGUAGAGAUUGGGAAGAACACCAGUGGCGAAGGCGGCUAUCUGGACGGUUUCUGACGCUAAGACGCGAAAGCGUGGGGAGCAAACAGG